RNAcentral lists this ribosomal RNA (526 nucleotides) under uncultured bacterium. Its description in RNAcentral is "bacterial SSU rRNA". It matches the Rfam family "Bacterial small subunit ribosomal RNA", at positions 8 to 526 of the family's 1533-position model. The record is from RNAcentral.
AGAGUUUGAUCAUGGCUCAGAUUGAACGCUGGCGGCAGGCUUAACACAUGCAAGUCGAGCGGGGGAGGUUGCUUCGGUAACUGACCUAGCGGCGGACGGGUGAGUAAUACUUAGGAAUCUGCCUAUUAAUGGGGGACAACAUCUCGAAAGGGAUGCUAAUACCGCAUACGCCCUACGGGGGAAAGCAGGGGAUCACUUGUGACCUUGCGUUAAUAGAUGAGCCUAAGUCGGAUUAGCUAGUUGGUGGGGUAAAGGCCUACCAAGGCGACGAUCUGUAGCGGGUCUGAGAGGAUGAUCCGCCACACUGGGACUGAGACACGGCCCAGACUCCUACGGGAGGCAGCAGUGGGGAAUAUUGGACAAUGGGGGGAACCCUGAUCCAGCCAUGCCGCGUGUGUGAAGAAGGCCUUAUGGUUGUAAAGCACUUUAAGCGAGGAGGAGGCUCUUUUGGUUAAUACCCAAGAUGAGUGGACGUUACUCGCAGAAUAAGCACCGGCUAACUCUGUGCCAGCAGCCGCGGUAAUAC